Xylona heveae TC161 is the source of this 100-nucleotide non-coding RNA. The record is from the annotation of a RefSeq genome assembly. NCBI's taxonomy places the organism in Eukaryota, Fungi, Ascomycota, Xylonomycetes, Xylonales, Xylonaceae.
GUCGUCUUAGCUCAAUUGGGAGAGCGCCAGACUGAAGUCAACUUCUGUCUUAAUGCAACGCGUUAUCUGGAGGUACUGUGUUCGAUCCACAGAGACGACA